GUUGCGCGUCUCCGGGUCAUCUUCGAUGAAACCCAAAACGUUCAUACUGCUUCAGCCACAGAGUGCUCUACUAACCAUGAAGAAGAGGAACCAAUCAUACAGACGGAGUCAACCCCAGACGGUACCUUCCACCCCACCAAGCCCACAGAUUUUCCGCGCCAUUGCCGGAAAAAUCUCCUCCUCUUCUUCUUCAUACUCUUCCAAGAAGCCCUUGAGCCUUACCCUCACCACUCAACAAGACACCAAUUGGGUGCCCUUAAACCUCGGCAGAACCGAGCUCUACCUGCCCUUGACCUUCCCCACAGGCCAGACUUUCAGGUGGAAGCAGACGGGCCCACUCCAGUUCACCGGGGUCGUCGGUGGGUCCCACUUGGUCUCCCUGAAGCAAUUGGAGAAUGGAGAUGUCGGUUACCAUCUCCACCGCACAACCAGCGUGGAUGAUGAUGAUGUUGCCCUUGCCAGGGCCGCCUUGCGUGAUUUUCUCAAUGUGGGGAUUUCUCUUGGUGAGAUUUGGGAGACAUUUAAGACCUCCGAUCCUAGAUUUGCCGAGUUGGCCGAUCAUUUGGGAGGGGCCAGAGUGCUCAGGCAGGACCCUCUUGAGUGCCUAAUCCAGUUCAUUUGCUCCUCUAAUAACAAUAUUAAGAGAAUUACAUUGAUGGUUGAUUUCAUUUCGUCAUUGGGGAAUUAUUUGGGCACUGUUGAAGGGUUUAAAUUUUACGAAUUCCCAACCUUGGACCGGCUAUCGAGGGUUUCUGACGCUGAGCUCAGGGAGGCUGGUUUUGGUUACAGGGCAAAAUAUAUAAUAGGUACUGUGAAGGCAUUACAGUCAAAACCAGGGGGAGGUUAUGAAUGGCUUGCUUCACUUCGUGAGAGAGAUCUUCAUGAGGCUGUUGAUAGUCUUUGUACUCUGCCUGGUGUUGGUCCCAAGGUUGCAGCCUGUGUUGCUCUCUUCUCUUUGGAUCAACACCAUGCCAUUCCUGUUGAUACUCAUGUCUGGCAGAUUGCAACUAGGUACCUCAUCCCUGAGCUGGCAGGAACCAGUUUGACACCUAAACUUUGCACUCGCGUAGCAGAUGCCUUUGUGAACAAAUAUGGAAAAUAUGCUGGCUGGGCCCAAACUCUUCUUUUCAUUGCGGAACUUCCAACACAAAAAGCAGUCUUGCCAUCAUCAUUUCAAAACACCAAAGAAGAAAAACAUUUUGAAAAGAAAAGAAAAAUGGGUGGAAACCAAAAAAUACUAAAUGAAUGAUAAGAUUUGCACGGUUCUUUUCCAUAUUAUUCAACAUUGAUCCAUUGUAACCGAGCAAGGUGUCUAUUGCUCGAACUUAUGAUUCAUAUCAUAAGUAGAAAUGGGUUCCAGGAGAUUGGAACAGAGAAUCUUGGGAUUUGGGAAACUGUCAAUGGAGAAUGGUCAUUUUGUGCUAAAAGGAGUUUCUAGUAAUGCUUUUGGUCUCUUUCAGUUCCUCCAUGGUUUUCAACUGGAAUCUGUUGAACCAACAAGGAAAGAUGAAAGUUUGAGUUGAAGUAAUUACAGGUAAUCCGACCGUUGCACUCAGCAGGGAAAUGUUGUUCAUUCCCUCAUUCAGAGAAACUGUGCUCUCUAGUGUAAAACUUGAGCUCCUAAAAGCUCCAUGUGCAGAACCUGAAAACAUGAGAGCAAAAUCAGUAGUAACUUUUAUUAGAUGUUUCUAGGAUAGAGGCAAUUGCUAUGAGAGGUUUUAUUAUGCUUUUAAUAUGGCUAGUAAAUCUAUUUUCAGUAUCCAACACAAUAAGAGAAAAUAUCUACAAACACCAUGUAAGGAAGGCCCCUGAAAGUUGAGCUCAGGUGCUUAGAAAAUGAGGUUCAAAUUCCCUGUACAAAACUCUACAGAAAUAAGAAUACUCUUGAUAUUCCUUGGUGGAUUUGCAAAUGCCUUUAAUACCACUAUGGAUAGCUUGGGAAUUUCA
RNA transcript from Ipomoea nil (Japanese morning glory), 1947 nucleotides. It is a transcript of the gene named N-glycosylase/DNA lyase OGG1, with no coding region annotated. The transcript is spliced from 4 exons. NCBI's taxonomy places the organism in Eukaryota, Viridiplantae, Streptophyta, Magnoliopsida, Solanales, Convolvulaceae. The record is from RefSeq and is a predicted model, not a curated record.